This 1413-nucleotide ribosomal RNA is filed under the name Escherichia coli. RNAcentral describes it as "partial 23S ribosomal RNA". Lineage: Bacteria; Pseudomonadati; Pseudomonadota; Gammaproteobacteria; Enterobacterales; Enterobacteriaceae. The record is from RNAcentral.
GGGUUGUGAGGUUAAGCGACUAAGCGUACACGGUGGAUGCCCUGGCAGUCAGAGGCGAUGAAGGACGUGCUAAUCUGCGAUAAGCGUCGGUAAGGUGAUAUGAACCGUUAUAACCGGCGAUUUCCGAAUGGGGAAACCCAGUGUGAUUCGUCACACUAUCAUUAACUGAAUCCAUAGGUUAAUGAGGCGAACCGGGGGAACUGAAACAUCUAAGUACCCCGAGGAAAAGAAAUCAACCGAGAUUCCCCCAGUAGCGGCGAGCGAACGGGGAGCAGCCCAGAGCCUGAAUCAGUGUGUGUGUUAGUGGAAGCGUCUGGAAAGGCGUGCGAUACAGGGUGACAGCCCCGUACACAAAAAUGCACAURCUGUGAGCUCGAUGAGUAGGGCGGGACACGUGGUAUCCUGUCUGAAUAUGGGGGGACCAUCCUCCAAGGCUAAAUACUCCUGACUGACCGAUAGUGAACCAGUACCGUGAGGGAAAGGCGAAAAGAACCCCGGCGAGGGGAGUGAAAAAGAACCUGAAACCGUGUACGUACAAGCAGUGGGAGCACAGAGCAAUCUGUGUGACUGCGUACCUUUUGUAUAAUGGGUCAGCGACUUAUAUUCUGUAGCAAGGUUAACCGAAUAGGGGAGCCGAAGGGAAACCGAGUCUUAACUGGGCGUUAAGUUGCAGGGUAUAGACCCGAAACCCGGUGAUCUAGCCAUGGGCAGGUUGAAGGUUGGGUAACACUAACUGGAGGACCGAACCGACUAAUGUUGAAAAAUUAGCGGAUGACUUGUGGCUGGGGGUGAAAGGCCAAUCAAACCGGGAGAUAGCUGGUUCUCCCCGAAAGCUAUUUAGGUAGCGCCUCGUGAAUUCAUCUCCGGGGGUAGAGCACUGUUUCGGCAAGGGGGUCAUCCCGACUUACCAACCCGAUGCAAACUGCGAAUACCGGAGAAUGUUAUCACGGGAGACACACGGCGGGUGCUAACGUCCGUCGUGAAGAGGGAAACAACCCAGACCGCCAGCUAAGGUCCCAAAGUCAUGGUUAAGUGGGAAACGAUGUGGGAAGGCCCAGACAGCCAGGAUGUUGGCUUAGAAGCAGCCAUCAUUUAAAGAAAGCGUAAUAGCUCACUGGUCGAGUCGGCCUGCGCGGAAGAUGUAACGGGGCUAAACCAUGCACCGAAGCUGCGGCAGCGACGCUGAUGCGUUGUUGGGUAGGGGAGCGUUCUGUAAGCCUGUGAAGGUGUACUGUGAGGUAUGCUGGAGGUAUCAGAAGUGCGAAUGCUGACAUAAGUAACGAUAAAGCGGGUGAAAAGCCCGCUCGCCGGAAGACCAAGGGUUCCUGUCCAACGUUAAUCGGGGCAGGGUGAGUCGACCCCUAAGGCGAGGCCGAAAGGCGUAGUCGAUGGGAAACAGGUUAAUAUUCCUGU